Molecule: ribosomal RNA, 437 nt
Filed under: uncultured bacterium
Lineage: Bacteria
Description: bacterial SSU rRNA
Rfam family: Bacterial small subunit ribosomal RNA
Source: RNAcentral
GAUGGCGACCGGCGCACGGGUGAGUAACGCGUAUCCAACCUUCCCUAUAGUAGAGGAUAGCCCGGCGAAAGUCGGAUUAAUACUCUAUGUUGUUCAAUCGCGGACAUCUAAGUUGAACCAAAGGUUUACCGCUAUAGGAUGGGGAUGCGUCUGAUUAGAUGGUAGGCGGGGUAACGGCCCACCUAGUCGACGAUCAGUAGGGGGUUCUGAGAGGAAGGUCCCCCACAUUGGAACUGAGACACGGUCCAGACUCCUACGGGAGGCAGCAGUGAGGAAUAUUGGUCAAUGGGCGCGAGCCUGAACCAGCCAAAGUAGCGUGCAGGAUGACGGCCCUAUGGGUUGUAAACUGCUUUUAUACGGGGAUAAAGUGAGGGGACGUGUCCCUUUUUGUAGGUACCGUAUGAAUAAGGACCGGCUAAUUCCGUGCCAGCAGCGGC